GUCGAACGCUGGCGGCGUGCCUAAUACAUGCAAGUAGGACGCAGUUGCGAACGGUUUAGUAACGUGUAGGUAACUACCUAUUAGAGGGGGAUAACUAUUGGAAACGAUAGCUAAUACCGCCUACUAGUAGAUGGAUCUGCGUUGUAUUAGCUAGUAGGUAGGGUAAUGGCCUAUCUAGGCAACGAUACAUAGCCGACCGUGGGUGGUGAUCGGACACAAUGGGGAUGAGAAACGGGCCCGACUCCCACCGGAGGCAGCAGGAGGGAAUCAUCGGAAAUGGGGGGAACCCUGGCCGAGGAACGGCGCGGGAGUGGAGGAGGGUUUCGGAUCGUAAAGCUAUGUUGUUAAGGGAGCGGUACUUACACAGAAAGGGACGGCUAACUACGUGCCAGCAGCCGCGGUAAUUC
This 407-nucleotide ribosomal RNA is filed under the name uncultured bacterium. RNAcentral describes it as "partial 16S ribosomal RNA". It matches the Rfam family "Bacterial small subunit ribosomal RNA", at positions 28 to 526 of the family's 1533-position model. The record is from RNAcentral.